UUUCCACUUUUCCCCCAACAUCUCCUCCCUAAUUCUUCCAUCCUCUUCCUCACACUCCAACAAACCCAUUUCUGAUAUUACUUGGUCCAAGUCAAUUUUGCUUUUGCUGAAAAAAUAAAUCUUUUUGUUUCCCCCCUCAUCCCUUGCUUUCAACCAUCGACCAAAGCCACCACCAUUCCCCUGCCUUCAGCCAUCGCCCAAAACCAUCAAUCAAAACCACCAACAUUCCCUUGCCUUUCACCCAUCGCCCCAAAUUCGCCACUAUUUCCCUUCCUUCAGCCGCCCAUCAACAUUAUCAAAUUCUUCAUCAACACACCUCGAACCCCCAUCAUCAUCAUCAAAAUGGUAGCUAAAACCUUGAGCAAAAAGGCAGUAGAUUUGGCCAGCGGUAGCCACCAUGAAUUCAUAACAAAAAAAUGGCAGAAACUUCGAGAUUAAAUAGAAGAAAUUAGUUAUAGGAUAUGUGAAAUUAUCUCAUCUUUUGCCAUUGUUGUGUCAAAAUGGGAAUUGAAAAGUUACAAUUUUCCCUUAUUCGAGUCGGAUUACUCACCACCACUCAGGUCUGUUGAAGUCCCUUCCAUGGGGUCAGGAUGGUUGCUGGUUUGGUUAGGGGAGUUGUGGUGGUGGUGUGGGUUGACGGUGGCCAAACGGGUAAGG
This 657-nucleotide long non-coding RNA is filed under the name Olea europaea (common olive). RNAcentral's name for it is "long non-coding RNA (OEUR_LNC011620)". The record is from RNAcentral. Lineage: Eukaryota; Viridiplantae; Streptophyta; Magnoliopsida; Lamiales; Oleaceae.